AUUGAACGCUGGCGGCAGGCCUAACACAUGCAAGUCGAACGGUAACAGGAAGAAGCUUGCUUCUUUGCUGACGAGUGGCGGACGGGUGAGUAAUGUCUGGGAAACUGCCUGAUGGAGGGGGAUAACUACUGGAAACGGUAGCUAAUACCGCAUAACGUCGCAAGACCAAAGAGGGGGACCUUCGGGCCUCUUGCCAUUGGCUGUGCCCAGAUGGGAUUAGCUAGUAGGUGGGGUAACGGCUCACCUAGGCGACGAUCCCUAGCUGGUCUGAGAGGAUGACCAGCCACACUGGAACUGAGACACGGUCCAGACUCCUACGGGAGGCAGCAGUGGGGAAUAUUGCACAAUGGGCGCAAGCCUGAUGCAGCCAUGCCGCGUGUAUGAAGAAGGCCUUCGGGUUGUAAAGUACUUUCAGCGGGGAGGAAGGGAGUAAAGUUAAUACCUUUGCUCAUUGACGUUACCCGCAGAAGAAGCACCGGCUAACUCCGUG
RNAcentral lists this ribosomal RNA (490 nucleotides) under uncultured bacterium. RNAcentral's name for it is "partial 16S ribosomal RNA". It matches the Rfam family "Bacterial small subunit ribosomal RNA", at positions 30 to 507 of the family's 1533-position model. The record is from RNAcentral.